This 211-nucleotide non-coding RNA is filed under the name Dialister sp. RNAcentral describes it as "T-box sequence". It matches the Rfam family "T-box leader". From Rfam's summary of the family: Uncharged tRNA acts as the effector for transcription antitermination of genes in the T-box leader family. T-boxes are found upstream of many aminoacyl-tRNA synthetase genes and some amino acid biosynthetic genes usually in Gram-positive bacteria. The anticodon of a specific tRNA base pairs to a specifier sequence within the T-box motif, and the NCCA acceptor tail of the tRNA base pairs to a conserved bulge in the T-box antiterminator hairpin. The record is from RNAcentral. Lineage: Bacteria; Bacillati; Bacillota; Negativicutes; Veillonellales; Veillonellaceae.
AUAAAUGUAGUGAAAGAGACAUGAAGUUUAAUGGUAGCAUAGCAAGAGAGUCUGUGUUUGGUGUGAACAGAUUAUGUAAGUUAAACUUUACCACUCUUGAGCAGGGAAACUGAAUGAAGUAAGUUUUCUCGGUUAGCACCGUUAUAGCUUCUAAAGUGAAUCGUAAGAUUUAAUUUGGGUGGAACCACGGAACUUAACUUUCGUCCCUUAG